GCAAAAUCUGAGCCUGAUGAAGGGAACACUUUGCUGUUCUUAGCAAGGAUGGGCUACACAGUAGAAGAGGCUUCAAUAGCUGUGGAAAGAUGUGGGCCAGAUGCCACAAUUGCAGAGCUAACAGAUUUCAUCUGUGCUGCUCAAAUGGCAAAGGCAGCUGAUGCGUCCUUUCCGGAAGAGAAGCCAAAGCUCAAGCAUUUUGAUGAUGAUUAUCCUAAACACAAGAAGAGGAGUUAUUAUGAAUAUGAUUUGUGGAAAAGGAAACAGCGGAUGAAAUUGGAGAAGAGGAUGCUGCAUGGAGAUGAUGAGUUGCUUCGACUCCCAAAUCCGAUGAUUGGAUUUGGGGUCCCCACUGAGCCAGCUGUUGUAACUCAUAGAACACUACCAGAAGCUGCUAUUGAACCUCCCUAUUUUUACUAUGAGAAUGUAGCACUUGCUCCUAAAGGGGUUUGGAGUACCAUUUCACGGUUCUUAUAUGAUGUGGAGCCAGAAUUUGUUGAUUCAAAAUAUUUCUGUGCCGCUGCAAGGAAAAGGGGUUAUGUUCACAAUCUUCCUGUCCAAAACAGGUUUCCCCUUCUUCCACUUCCUCCACGCACCAUACAUGAAGCACUACCUUUGACAAAGAAA
Molecule: unclassified non-coding RNA, 627 nt
Filed under: Hevea brasiliensis (rubber tree)
Lineage: Eukaryota; Viridiplantae; Streptophyta; Magnoliopsida; Malpighiales; Euphorbiaceae
Source: RNAcentral